This is a small nuclear RNA of Sceloporus undulatus (fence lizard), 144 nucleotides long. RefSeq annotates it as U4 spliceosomal RNA. Lineage: Eukaryota; Metazoa; Chordata; Lepidosauria; Squamata; Phrynosomatidae. The transcript has a single exon. The record is from RefSeq and is a predicted model, not a curated record.
GAAUUUGCACAGUGGCAGUAUCAUGACCAAUGAGGUCAAUCCGAGGCGCGAUUAUUGCUAAUUGAAAACUUUUCCCAAUGCCCUGCCAUGAUGACUUGAAAUAUAGUUGGCAAUGGCAAUUUUGACGGUCUCUACGGAAUGGGA